This 40-nucleotide ribosomal RNA is filed under the name Beauveria malawiensis. Its description in RNAcentral is "partial 28S ribosomal RNA". Lineage: Eukaryota; Fungi; Ascomycota; Sordariomycetes; Hypocreales; Cordycipitaceae. The record is from RNAcentral.
ACGUGACCUCGAAUCAGGUAGGACUACCCGCUGAACUUAA